Sinocyclocheilus rhinocerous is the source of this 74-nucleotide non-coding RNA. The record is from the annotation of a RefSeq genome assembly. Lineage: Eukaryota; Metazoa; Chordata; Actinopteri; Cypriniformes; Cyprinidae.
GCCCGGUUAUCUAAGUUGGUUAGAGCGUCGUGCUUUUAACGCCAAGGUCGCGGGUUCGAUCCCCAUACGGGGCA